GGCGACGUGGCCAAGUGGCUAAGGCGAAGGAUUGCAAAUCCUUUAUUCGUGGGUUCGAAUCCCACCGUCGCCUC
RNAcentral lists this transfer RNA (74 nucleotides) under Rhodopirellula baltica. RNAcentral describes it as "tRNA-Cys". It matches the Rfam family "tRNA". From Rfam's summary of the family: Transfer RNA (tRNA) molecules are approximately 80 nucleotides in length. RNAcentral also lists the same sequence under 11 other names. The record is from RNAcentral. Lineage: Bacteria; Pseudomonadati; Planctomycetota; Planctomycetia; Pirellulales; Pirellulaceae.